AUUUUGUACCAACGAAAAUACAAGUGUAUGGUUUGGCUAAAAAGCCCAAACCAAACGAACUGAGCGAAACAGAACCAUUUCCUGAAUCCUGGACUGUGCUAAUUCAGAUUCACGGUGGUCUGCCACAAUGUUAGCCUCGCACUUUUAUGACAUCCCUGUCAACCCACGUUUCAGUUUUCACAAAGAACCCAGGAAAUCAAACUCAAAACAACUCUCUUUAUAUUACUUUAUUUAAACCCUUAGCAAUUUCUCUCUGUCUCACAUACACAAAAUUACAAGCAAUGCCUUUCACGUAUCCAAUCACAUUAACCGCAUUUUCUUCAAUGGUUUGUGGCGUAUUUCUUCUUCUUUCUUCUUGUUGAUUACAUGAUUAGAUGAUGGCUGGCUCCUUCAACUCUUGGUCUUCAUCUUCCUCGUGUGGGUCUUCUUCUUUGGCUGCUCCACCAGCAGUGGGGUGCCCAAAGUCACCACCUGGAGGUUUAGAUUUGUUUGGGAAGAGAAGGCAAGUUGGUCAGGGUACAAAUCUUGGAAAGAGAGAUCGACUUGCUUCAGGUUAGUUACUUCACUCUGGAAUUGAAUAUUUUCCUUUUAGAAAUACUUGAUAGGGAUAGUUUCAAUUUUUCAUAGCUAACAAAUGGGUGAAAACUUGAAGAAUAUAUGAAAGUUGUGUGUGAUAGUCUGACCUGAAGGGAAGAGUGAAGCGUGAAUUAGGGUUUUAAAGGUUGGAUUUCAAAACUUUUGUAAGGUUUCAUGCAUACAUAACACAUGUAUUAUGAUACUAACCGACCUUAAAUACCCAAGAUAUGUUAAAGCACACUUUUAACAUGUAUUAAAUUUUCAUUUGCCAUUAAAGAUUAUUGUUUAACAAUUAAACACAUUAAAAGCCUAACUAAAAGAGGGAUUUAAGAACUCUAACCUCUUGGGGCAUAGAAUCAGCUUCUUGCUCCCUUUGGAUGUCACAAGAGUACAAUUGCAACUCCUAUAGCUUAUCCACUACAAGCUCCACCAAAUUCUAUCAAUGGCAGCCCCUAACCUCUCCUUUCGGUGAUUUACCAACCAUUAAUUUUGUGGCUAUUGCUUUAGGUAAGGUUCUUUUGGAUGUAGUAAGCUAGAAACACUUCCUAGCAAUUUUGAUUCAAAAGAAAACAAGGUUGUCUUUGUGAAUCAAUGGAAGAAAGUGAAGAGAGGGAGAAAAUCUUCUUUUGCCAUCCAAUGUGGGAAGAAGAAAAAAUAAAAUUCCAUUCAUUUGUUUCUUCUUCUUAUCUCAUAUAUAAUGCAAGACAAAAGACAUUAAGUUAUCACUUGUCAUGAUCUCAUUCAAUCUAGCUUUAAUGUGUCUUAAUCUCAUUAAGCCACUUGUUAAGUCAAGAUUAAAUUAUCAAAAAAUUAUAUUCCACUAAUAGAAGACAAGUGGCACACAUUUAUGAGUGUCACUUGUCACUAUCUCAUGGUGUCACUAUCUCAUGGUGUCAUGUGUCACCAUAUGAAUUUAUCAAAAUGCUCUUGUAUGCAUUUUUGAGUUAUCAACUCAAAAUUGUAGUUUUCUCUCUCAAAUUAAUUUAUAUCAUAUAUUAAUUAAUUAAUCUCCUUUAAUUAAUUCCACCAUUAAAUUUAUAUUUAAACUCUUUAAAUAUAAGUCUAAUUUAUAUUAUACAUCCAAUACCAAAGAUUUGGUUUCAAGUUAUGCUAGAGACUUUACAAUCUUAUUACAAAUCAAAUCUAUUUAAUUAAUUAAUUAAAUCUCAUUUAACUCGCUGAUUAUUCACCUUCUUCUCAGCAACCACUAUGGCACUGGAAGGUUAACUCAACAGGAUUGGCUCACUGGUCAGACAGUACUCAGCUCUUCUUCAAUGGAAUCAAUGGAAUUCUUGUAAUAUCCGAUCUACACUAGGGGUUAUUCUGGUCAAGUGGAACCCAAGGUGACAAAGUUGCUCUUCUCAACACUUCAAAUCUUCAAAUACUCAAGCUUUAAGAAGCCUCUCACUCGGUACUCUGGCAAAGUUUCGAUUUUCCCACAGAUUAGCCUCGUCGAGAACCAGAAUUUAACUUCUAAUGUGUCCCUUGUUUCAUCAAAUGGGCUUCACUCUCUGCGCUUAGGAGACACUUUCAUGGCUCUAUAUGCUAAGUUCGAAGAAACACAGCAAAUGUAUUGGAAACGCAAAGCGCUGGAAGCCAGAGCAGUUAAUGUUGAAGGACAAGGUCCGAUUCUUGCACGGGUCGAAUCGAGCGGGUUCUUGGGUAUGUUCCAAACGGGAAACGCUCCUGUAGACUUUCAACCUUUUAACACCUACCAGCAACCUAUCAACCGAUUCCUCUUAGUCCGGUCAGAAUCGGACGGCAACCAGAAAGGCUACUUUUGGAACGGUUCCACCUGGGUAUUGGAUUAUCAAGCGAUUGCUGACAUCUGCGAUUUGCCUAGUCCCUGCGGUUCCUACGGUUUGUGCAAACCCGGGUCUGGUUGCUUCUGCUUGGAUAAUGACACGGACUUUAGAUCUGGUAACUGCUUUACCGUUCAGUCCAGUGACCUUUGCGGCGACGCCGAAGCCAAAACUAAGAACGAC
Molecule: unclassified non-coding RNA, 2561 nt
Filed under: Hevea brasiliensis (rubber tree)
Lineage: Eukaryota; Viridiplantae; Streptophyta; Magnoliopsida; Malpighiales; Euphorbiaceae
Source: RNAcentral